UGCUGUGAACUCGAAGAGUAGGGCGGGACACGUGGUAUCCUGUCUGAAUAUGGGGGGACCAUCCUCCAAGGCUAAAUACUCCUGACUGACCGAUAGUGAACCAGUACCGUGAGGGAAAGGCGAAAAGAACCCCGGCGAGGGGAGUGAAAAAGAACCUGAAACCGUGUACGUACAAGCAGUGGGAGCCUCUUUAUGGGGUGACUGCGUACCUUUUGUAUAAUGGGUCAGCGACUUAUAUUCUGUAGCAAGGUUAACCGUAUAGGGGAGCCGAAGGGAAACCGAGUCUUAACUGGGCGUUAAGUUGCAGGGUAUAGACCCGAAACCCGGUGAUCUAGCCAUGGGCAGGUUGAAGGUUGGGUAACACUAACUGGAGGACCGAACCGACUAAUGUUGAAAAAUUAGCGGAUGACCUGUGGCUGGGGGUGAAAGGCCAAUCAAACCGGGAGAUAGCUGGUUCUCCCCGAAAGCUAUUUAGGUAGCGCCUCGUGAACUCAUCUUCGGGGGUAGAGCACUGUUUCGGCUAGGGGGCCAUCCCGGCUUACCAACCCGAUGCAAACUACGAAUACCGAAGAAUGUUAUCACGGGAGACACACGGCGGGUGCUAACGUCCGUCGUGAAGAGGGAAACAACCCAGACCGCCAGCUAAGGUCCCAAAGUCAUGGUUAAGUGGGAAACGAUGUGGGAAGGCACAGACAGCCAGGAUGUUGGCUUAGAAGCAGCCAUCAUUUAAAGAAAGCGUAAUAGCUCACUGGUCGAGUCGGCCUGCGCGGAAGAUGUAACGGGGCUAAACCAUGCACCGAAGCUGCGGCAGCGACGCUUAUGCGUUGUUGGGUAGGGGAGCGUUCUGUAAGCCGUUGAAGGUGUCCUGUGAGGGGUGCUGGAGGUAUCAGAAGUGCGAAUGCUGACAUAAGUAACGAUAAAGCGGGUGAAAAGCCCGCUCGCCGGAAGACCAAGGGUUCCUGUCCAACGUUAAUCGGGGCAGGGUGAGUCGACCCCUAAGGCGAGGCCGAAAGGCGUAGUCGAUGGGAAACAGGUUAAUAUUCCUGUACUUGGUGUUACUGCGAAGGGGGGACGGAGAAGGCUAUGUCAGCCGGGCGACGGUUGUCCCGGUUUAAGCAUGUAGGCGGAGGUUCCAGGUAAAUCCGGUACCUUAUUAACGCUGAGGUGUGAUGACGAGGCACUACGGUGCUGAAGUGAUAAAUGCCCUGCUUCCAGGAAAAGCCUCUAAGCAUCAGGUAACACGAAAUCGUACCCCAAACCGACACAGGUGGUCAGGUAGAGAAUACCAAGGCGCUUGAGAGAACUCGGGUGAAGGAACUAGGCAAAAUGGUGCCGUAACUUCGGGAGAAGGCACGCUGAUAUGUAGGUGAAGUCCCUGCGGACGGAGCUGAAAUCAGUCGAAGAUACCAGCUGGCUGCAACUGUUUAUUAAAAACACAGCACUGUGCAAACACGAAAGUGGACGUAUACGGUGUGACGCCUGCCCGGUGCCGGAAGGUUAAUUGAUGGGGUUAGCGGCAACGCGAAGCUCUUGAUCGAAGCCCCGGUAAACGGCGGCCGUAACUAUAACGGUCCUAAGGUAGCGAAAUUCCUUGUCGGGUAAGUUCCGACCUGCACGAAUGGCGUAAUGAUGGCCAGGCUGUCUCCACCCGAGACUCAGUGAAAUUGAACUCGCUGUGAAGAUGCAGUGUACCCGCGGCAAGACGGAAAGACCCCGUGAACCUUUACUAUAGCUUGACACUGAACACUGGUCCUUGAUGUGUAGGAUAGGUGGGAGGCUUUGAAGCGUGGACGCCAGUCUGCGUGGAGCCAACCUUGAAAUACCACCCUUUAAUGGCUGGUGUUCUAACGUAGACCCGUAAUCCGGGUUGCGGACAGUGUCUGGUGGGUAGUUUGACUGGGGCGGUCUCCUCCCAAAGAGUAACGGAGGAGCACGAAGGUUGGCUAAUCCUGGUCGGACAUCAGGAGGUUAGUGCAAUGGCAUAAGCCAGCUUGACUGCGAGCGUGACGGCGCGAGCAGGUGCGAAAGCAGGUCAUAGUGAUCCGGUGGUUCUGAAUGGAAGGGCCAUCGCUCAACGGAUAAAAGGUACUCCGGGGAUAACAGGCUGAUACCGCCCAAGAGUUCAUAUCGACGGCGGUGUUUGGCACCUCGAUGUCGGCUCAUCACAUCCUGGGGCUGAAGUAGGUCCCAAGGGUAUGGCUGUUCGCCAUUUAAAGUGGUACGCGAGCUGGGUUUAGAACGUCGUGAGACAGUUCGGUCCCUAUCUGCCGUGGGCGCUGGAGAAUUGAGGGGGGCUGCUCCUAGUACGAGAGGACCGGAGUGGACGCAUCACUGGUGUUCGGGUUGUCAUGCCAAUGGCACUGCCCGGUAGCUAAAUGCGGAAGAGAUAAGUGCUGAAAGCAUCUAAGCACGAAACUUGCCCCGAGAUGAGUUCUCCCUGAGACUUUAAGUCUCCUGAAGGAACGUUGAAGACGACGACGUUGAUAGGUCGGGUGUGUAAGCGCAGCGAUGCGUUGAGCUAACCGAUACUAAUGAACCGUGAGGCUUAACCUU
Molecule: ribosomal RNA, 2553 nt
Filed under: Enterobacter sp. BWH 39
Lineage: Bacteria; Pseudomonadati; Pseudomonadota; Gammaproteobacteria; Enterobacterales; Enterobacteriaceae
Description: bacterial LSU rRNA
Rfam family: Bacterial large subunit ribosomal RNA
Source: RNAcentral